GAGACAGCACUCAGGAGCUGCCCAAGUCAGAUACUUGUUUUUCUGGUUGCAGCUUUUGGAAUCCUUUACCUAAUGCCCUACCCAACUCCUGAUUUGCCUGUAGAGAUGGUCAAUAAAAAGAAGCAGAGGUUCAUGGGACUUCCAGGACAAUGCUUCAUGAUUCUAAGCAUUGCUGCUAACUAGACAGAACAAUGACAGCCAUUUGAGAAUUAUGAGACAAAGAUCAAGAGCAUAUCACAGACUUGGCCUUGCCAUCCUUGAGCAGCUAAACACACAACAUCAAACUCCUACUUCCAUACUUAGUAUUACAUGAGUAUAUCAAAUUUUAUGUAUUUAACUCUGCCUAGUCAGAUUUUUUUUAUAAGCUCCAAGCACAAUUUUUAGCUAAUUUAGUAAAUUCAUUCUUACAGAAGUGAUAAAAAUUACCCAAGGACACUCAGAUAACAAAAGUCAGAGUAGGGCUGUGAACUUCAGUCUUAUUACCUCAUGCUCAUUUUCUUACACUAUAUGCCAUUGCAUGAGCCUUAGAAACUGUGUUCUGGUUCAGUGUUCUGCAGCAGUUUAUUUAAAGCUCAUGAAAUAUUAUAAAGAGUAGGCUGAGAUUGAAUUAGACAAGGUGACAGAAAUAUGCACUGGUUAAAAUCUUCCUUACCUUCAACCUCAGUCCCCACUUUUGCACUUGUCUUAAACAUUGGAUUAUUUCAAUCAGCAGAUCACUGUGUUAUCACUUAUAGUAAAAGACUGACCGCUGUCUUUAUUAAAAACACAUUAAUGUACGUGUAUAGUUGAUGCAGGGAUAUCCCAAAGCGGAGUGGUUUUAGUGAAAAAAAAAAGGAGGGAGGGAGGGAGGGAGGAAGGAGGAAAGAAAGGAAAGGAAAGGAAAGGAAAGGAAAGGAAAGGAAAGGAAAGGAAAGGAAAGGAAAGGAAAGGAAAGGAAAGGAAAGGAAAGGAAAGUGAAGGGUAGGAUUCAUUUCUGCUUUAAGUGUGAUAUUUCUCCCUUUUCUUCAUACUGAUUCUUGAAGCAUAGAAUUGCUUCUGUCAAAAAUACAGCAAUUCUUUAUUUAUCCCCACUCUGAAUAUUAAGAGAGUAAUUUUAAGGUGAAAGCAUAUUAAGAAAGGCUUACUUCUUCAUUUUUUUUUCUAUUCUUGGCCUAAGGACCACAUGAUUUUAUAUAUGGUCUGCUAACCAACUGCUAAGUAUUAGGACAGAAAUUAUCAAAGAGAACCAGUAAAUUCUGUCUUUUUUUCCUCUGGUACUUCUCUAACUGGAGAAUCCUCUUCAUUUUAAGUGGAAGAUCUUCCUCUUAGUAAGAGUGCUCUGACCUACAUAAACCGUGUAGCAUAGAAGCCAUAUUUUUUCUCUUUUAAAUUCCACACAAAUUAACCUCCACACCUGAAAGUUUUAUGUUAAACUAAUUUAAUAUGUUAUUUCUUUGCCUUUUGAACUCUUUUCAAAAACUAAAUAACUAUUUGGCUAGAUAAAUGCCCUUGAAAGUAAAAGUUCCACUCUCUUGCUUUUUAAAAAUAAUAUUAUGAUCUCUUGACUUAUGGUUAUAUUUCAUAAUGGUGGUGAAUAUAAAUUAUUUAAAAACUGUACCCUCAAUUUUAACUCUUUAUAUUGCUAUCAAAUCUUUCAGAAACAUUUUUACAAUUUUUUUUCUAGUUGGUUACUAUUACUUUUACUCCAUUACUUUUUAAAAUAAAAUCAUUAUAUAUAACAAGGAGACAAGUUCCAUAUUAUAUAUUGUGUAUGGCAUCAAAUUCACAUAUGACAUUAGCUUCCUCUGUGGGUCUUCUUCUUCUAGAAUUUGUCUCCAUCAAUUUAUCCAGUGCAUCACAACAACUUCAAAGUUUGCAACACAAAACUUCAUUUCCAAAAGAUAUUCAGUAUCCCCUCAUCCCUAGGGGGAAUGUAUAUAAUUCUUAGCCUAAUAUUCAAGACUCAUCAUCACAUAUCUUUUGUAAGUCAUCACCAUCCACAUCUGACCCAUCAUCAGUCAUGCUGAUUUGCUCAGUCUUAUGAAUGGGCCUUGAAAUAUUUAUUCUUUCCCUCCAAAAUGAAUAAGAUAGAGUAUAAAUAAAAUGCAUCAUCUACUUGUAUAAAAGUCUUAGUGCCACACACAAUUCUAAAUAUGUACAAAUUGUUUUGAGCUUGUAGAACCAAGUCAUGAUGGAUAAUCUCAUGUAUAUUGUUUAUUUAUUUUAACUGAAAAAUAAAAUUGUGUAUAUUUACUAAGUAUAACAGGAUGUUUUGAGAUAUGUAUACAUGAAUGGCUAAAUUGUGUUAAUGAACAUAUGCAUUACCUCACAUGCUUAUCAUUUAUCUUUUUUUGUGGAGACACUUAAAAUCUACUUUCAUAGCAAUUUUCAAAUAUAUAAUAUACUGUUAUUAACUGUAGUCACCAUAAUGUGCAGUCAACCUAUUAAGUUUAUUCCUCUUAUCUGACUGAAAUUUUAUGUCCUUUGACCAAUAUCUCCCCAAGGCUCCUACCUACAAGCUUCUAG
Molecule: long non-coding RNA, 2505 nt
Filed under: Homo sapiens (human)
Lineage: Eukaryota; Metazoa; Chordata; Mammalia; Primates; Hominidae
Description: HSALNT0281085
Source: RNAcentral